RNAcentral lists this long non-coding RNA (1129 nucleotides) under Homo sapiens (human). RNAcentral's name for it is "HSALNT0342619". Lineage: Eukaryota; Metazoa; Chordata; Mammalia; Primates; Hominidae. The record is from RNAcentral.
GCUCAUUUUACUUAGCUGCUGAAGAAGGAGAGUCGCAUUCAGCCAGGGAUCACUGAGCAUUCAAAAGUCCAUCUGAGACCUGCUUUCAUUGCACUGCCUCGUGAGGAGCUGUAGGAGAAGAUAUCAUAACUAUUCCCCACUUCUAAUUGUUAGAAGCAACAGCUGUCUAUCAAGAACAAUCUGAGGAUUGUGCACAAAUUGAUUUGGUUCUAUCAAGUGCUGGCUUUCGAUUCCAGUCUGACUUCACUACCACAGGAGCUUCUUGCUCAGGCUUCUGUUCCGGCUCCAUUCUCUCCCUGCCAUUAUAAUGCCAUCCACUGCAGCACCAUCUCUUCAAUCAGAACCAAGAAAAGGGGCAGAAUAAGUGAGAGAAUGAACGAGAAUGAAAAAAAGAAUAGAACCAGUCGGCCAGUGACAUUUUCUAGUGAAACACAUAUGGGAUGCAAGAAAAGGACUCAGAAAAGCCUUGGGAGUAAAUAUUGAAAUGAUCUUGAAUGAUUUGGCAGGAGAAGAUGUGUCAGCAGGGCUUACCGUAUAGCUCCGAAGGAUGGUGAUGACGACACCACAGACCAAGAUAGUUUACAAAGGCUUAAUGGAGCUCAGAUAUUUGAGAAAAAAAAAAAAAAGAUUAACCAUAUUCAGCUGAGAAAAGGGAACACAAACACAUCUGGGGAAAGUAAUCUUAAAUAAAGAUACUCAGAUGGAGAAAAACAUGUGUCAAGCCUGGACCUGGAGUAAAAGCAGACAGAAAAAAUUUGAGUUGCAAGGGAUUACAACAGCUCAGAAAGGAAAACAUUCAUGAUCUCAUUCCACCUGAAGCCAGUGCCUCUGUAAUGUGUAGCAGAAUCCUAUGGAGAAGUUGUAAAAACACAAAAUGUUGGCCCCACCCCAAGAGUUUCUGAUUUUGCAGGUCUGGAGAGGGCCUGUGAUACGUACUUCUAACAAGCUCCCAGGCGAUGCUAAUGUUGCUGGUCUAGAAACACACUUUGAGAGCCACUGUUUUACAAUGUAUUCACCCAGCUUAUGCAAUCAACUACUAUCACAGCAAAGUCCAAAGAAUGCUCCUUAUUUGUUUGUUAUACUGGAGUUUGGCUUGGCUAAAUAUUAUUUGAAACUGAAUGGCUGUUGA